GUCCAGCUCUACUCUGCACCUGUGGUUUCUAUGCACUCUCAGUAUAUCUUUACAAACUCAGCUGGACUUGAGCCCCGGGACUCUGGUUUAUGGCUCCAAACUUCAAAUCCAUUUAAAUGGAUUGGCUCAAUGACACUUGGAAAUGCAAUAAGCUCUACAAGCUUUUCUAGCAAUGGCCACUUUCAGCUCUUACAAAAUGUCCUGAAGCAGCGGAGGUUGGGCCUAGAGAACCUGCCAAAGUCCGCUGAUGUUGCCUAUAUAGAAUACACCACAAUUCCAGGGUCACGGAGAAGUCUGGGUGAUUACCUUGGCAGUGGCAUGGUUGAGCAUCUCCUGCCAGGUUGGGUCCAUGGUGUUCCUGUCAGCCAAGAGGCCCUGCUCUGCCACAUAAACCAUCUCUCUGGCAGCAGUGUGCAUGGAUACGGCCCUCUCAUAUCUCAGAGCUGCCUUCUGGGUUUCUUGUUGGGCCUGGGGGAACAGACAGCAGCAGCUAAAUAAAAUUCUAACCAAUCAGAAAAUCAGCUGCAACAAUAAAAAGGGUGCACUCAAUUAAAGGCUGCAAGGAGAGUGGAGCUGGUCUUUCCAGCAAACAGUGUUUUUCCAACUCCUUUUAACUUGGCACUGUUAGCUUACAGAUCACAUACUGUGCAUAUAUGCCGUUGGGCCUUAAACACAACCACACAACAGAGAGGAACUUUAAAGCUCCUGCUUUACAUGCUCUCUUUGUUCUGACCAUGUGUGUUCAUGCUUGUACACGUGAGACACACUGAAGCUUAACAAAGAAGCUCACACAUGCGUAUACACACACACACACACACACACACUCUCCUUAUCACACACACCUCUUCUUCUUUAGUUUAGUGCAUUUCAUUAAGAUUU
Molecule: long non-coding RNA, 879 nt
Organism: Micropterus dolomieu (smallmouth bass)
Lineage: Eukaryota; Metazoa; Chordata; Actinopteri; Centrarchiformes; Centrarchidae
Exons: 2
Source: RefSeq, a predicted model, not a curated record